UUGGGUUUUAGCAUUGGUGCAUGGGAAUACACUACAGUAGAUUGAGUGCAUUAAAAUUAUAGAUUGAAAUUGCAUUUAUGUUCAUCUUCAGCUCAGCUCUGCUCUGGUGGAGUUGAGAAAUCUGGGGCAAUCCAGGCCUUGUUCAUUUUUAUCUGAGUCAACCUGUCAGCAU
Bufo bufo (common toad) is the source of this 172-nucleotide long non-coding RNA. RefSeq lists it as uncharacterized. The transcript is spliced from 3 exons. The record is from RefSeq and is a predicted model, not a curated record. NCBI's taxonomy places the organism in Eukaryota, Metazoa, Chordata, Amphibia, Anura, Bufonidae.